This 1298-nucleotide ribosomal RNA is filed under the name human gut metagenome. RNAcentral describes it as "bacterial LSU rRNA". It matches the Rfam family "Bacterial large subunit ribosomal RNA", at positions 1111 to 2495 of the family's 2925-position model. The record is from RNAcentral.
AGCAGCCACUCAUUAAAAGAGUGCGUAAUAGCUCACUGGUCGAGUGACUCUGCGCCGAAAAUUUAACGGGGCUAAACUAUACACCGAAGCUUGGGAUACAUCUAAUGUAUGGUAGGAGAGCGUUCUGUAUGGGGAGAAGUCGUAGCGAAAGCGGCGGUGGACUAUACAGAAGUGAGAAUGCCGGAAUAAGUAGCGAGAAUUAAGUGAGAAUCUUAAUGGCCGAAAGUCUAAGGUUUUUGGAGGAAGGUUCGUCCGCUCCAAGUAAGUCGGGAGCUAAGGUCAGGCCGAAAGGCGUAGCCGAUGCACAUACGGUUGAUAUUCCGUAACCAUCUGUAAUUUAAGCAAAGGGACACUUCAAAAGGGUGUGACCCGGGCGUUGGUUGACCCGGGCGUAAGGGACCGAAAUUAGAGUAGGGAAGCACACUUAGCUGAAGGCGAGAAAAGCUUUGCGUAUAGAAACAGAUGCCCGUACCGCAAACCGACACAGGUGGACAGGAAGAGAAUUCUAAGGCCAGCGGGAGAAGGGUAGUUAAGGAACUCGGCAAAUUGACUCCGUAACUUCGGAAUAAGGAGUGCUCGAAAGAGCCGCAGAGAAUAGGCCCAGGCGACUGUUUAGCAAAAACACAGGUCUCUGCCAAAUCGAAAGAUGAAGUAUAGGGGCUGACACCUGCCCGGUGCCGGAAGGUUAAGAGGAGGAGUGAGAGCUCCGAAUUGAAGCCCCGGUAAACGGCGGCCGUAACUAUAACGGUCCUAAGGUAGCGAAAUUCCUUGUCGGGUAAGUUCCGACCCGCACGAAUGGUGUAACGAUCUGGGCACUGUCUCAACUACCCACCCGGCGAAAUUGUAGUACCGGUGAAGAUGCCGGUUACCUGCGGCAAGACGGAAAGACCCCAUGGAGCUUUACUGUAGCCUGAUAUUGGGUUUCGGAAAUCUAUGUACAGGAUAGGCGGGAGACUAGGAAACAUGAGCGUCAGCUUGUGUGGAGUCGAUGUUGGGAUACCGCCCUUAGGUUUCUGGAAUUCUAACCUGCGGCCGUGAAUCCGGUCGGGGGACAUUGUCAGGUGGGCAGUUUGACUGGGGCGGUCGCCUCCGAAAAGGUAACGGAGGCGCUCAAAGGUUAGCUCAGCACGGACGGAAACCGUGCCUCUGAGUGUAAACGCAAAAGCUAGCCUAACUGCGAGGGUGACGGCCCGAGCAGUAACGAAAGUUGGAGUUAGUGAUCCGGCGGUAUGUGAAUGGAAAUGCCGUCGCUCAACGGAUAAAAGCUACCCUGGGGAUAACAGGCUGAUCUCCCCCAA